This 879-nucleotide non-coding RNA is filed under the name Aporrhais serresiana. The record is from RNAcentral. Lineage: Eukaryota; Metazoa; Mollusca; Gastropoda; Littorinimorpha; Aporrhaidae.
UAUAAGUUUGGCUCUGGCUUAUUAAUAUAACAAAGACUAAAAAAUACACAUGGUUUUUAUUAAAAGCGGUGAGGAUAAAAGCUUUAAAAUAACUAUAUAAAACAUAUAUUAUAUUUAUUCUUUUAAUGGUAUUAUAAAUUACAUAAUGCUUUGAUACGUUCCACUAACACCAGUGAUUAAGGUUAAACAAAAAGCGUCAGCUUGUUUUAAUUUAGUUAUAAGGACUGGUUAACUUGGUGCCAGCAUCCGCGGUUAUACCAAGAUGUUCGAGUUAUAUCUUUUAAGGUAAAAAGACAAUUAAAUAAAUUAAAAGUCAUUUGAUUCUUUAUUUAAAAGUUAAAUUUGAACAUAAAGAAAAAUUUUAUUAAUGUCUUAAAAUAUUGAGUUUGUGAAAAUCUUGAGGGAAACUGGGAUUAGAUACCCCACUAUUCUUGAUUGUAAACUGAUUUUAUCUACCAGAGUACUAUGAAUAUUUUAAUUUAAAACUCAAAGAGCUUGGCGGUGUUUUAGACUUCUUAGGGGAACCUGUCUCAUAAUCGACAAUCCACGAUAAACCUAACCUUAAUUAGCUUAUAGCAGUAUGUAUACCAUCGUCGGCAGGUAACUUUUAAAAAUUUAGGAGUUAGCAACUUAAAUAAAUUAAAUUAAUACGUCAGAUCAAGGUGCAGCUCAUGUUAAGGAGAGGAUGGGUUACAUUUAACAAUUAUAAAACGAACAGAAAAUUGAAAUAUUUUCUCGAAGGCGGACUUAAAAGUAAUAUGAUAUAUAAAAAUCUUUUGAAUAAAGCUCUGAAACGUGCACACAUCGCCCGUCGCUCUCGUUGAAAAAUGAGAUAAGUCGUAACAUAGUAGGAGUAAUGGAAAUUGCUCCUGGCUGAAA